RNAcentral lists this long non-coding RNA (3727 nucleotides) under Sus scrofa (pig). RNAcentral's name for it is "lncRNA (ENSSSCG00040011099.1)". Lineage: Eukaryota; Metazoa; Chordata; Mammalia; Artiodactyla; Suidae. The record is from RNAcentral.
CCCCCAUCACUAAUCUGUUCAGUGCCCAGACCGAAGUUGUAUAAAAAGAUGAUAAUUUACAUUUGGAUAGUAAUUCAGGAAUUUACAAAGAGUCUGCAACCUCUCAUUUCAUCCUCAUUUUACAGCAGAAGAAAAACUAAAAUCCAAAUAGAUUUGUGACUUAAAGUCUCAUUGUUAAUUAGUAGCAGGGGACUUAACUAAAUCCAGAAUCCCUGAUUCCAAAUACUCUUUCCAUUGCAUCCUCAAGUGAGAACAUGUGUGACUUUUCUCUAAGGAUGAAGAGGAUUUCACUCUCCAGAGCUCCAUUUGUUUCUUCUCUUAUCUUAAGGAGAGCCUAUCCUGCCAAGACAUGGAAUUUAUUACCCUCGGAAUAAGCUUCACUCACAAGCCUCUCCAUACCCUACUGUAAUUAUCUGGAUGUGCAGAUACUAUUCUCCGUCAAAAAAACGUCAAAACAUUCCACAAAUGGGCGUAGUGGAACACAUGCAAAUGGUUAAACCAUCAUUAUUUAUUCCCAGUGAUAUGAGGGUGGUCCUCGGCAGAGCAGAGAGAGGAGGCUCAGACGAGAAUUCCACCCACUAAAAGAGAGCUGCUCCCCCUGCGACUUCUUACGUAACUGCUACUGAAGUCCACGGCUAAGCAAGCCCAAGUCUUUUCCACAAGAUGUCACAACAGGAGUGAGGACCCUAGUGGUUGUCGAGUCUCCCCUUCACAUUGUACUUUAAGAAAAUGAGGAGGAAGAGUUCUCUUGUGUCGCAGUGGGUCAAGGAGUGGGGCGGGGGGAAGGCGUGGACACUGCAGUGGUUCAGGUCACUGCUGUGGUUUGGGUUCAAUCCCUGGCCCAGGAACAGCUUCCACAUGCCAUAGGUGCAGCAAAAAAAGAAAGAAAGAGAAAUAGACUUCUCAAUAGAAAUAAGAGAAGCAAAAGACAGUGAUGAAAUGGGCUAAAAGGCGUUCAUUGCCAAUGCAGAGUUCAACACACCAAAAAUACCCUUCAAGAAUGAAGAAAUACAUUUUCAGAUGAUAAAAUCAGUUUAUCACCAAUAAACCUGCCCAAAGGAAAUUCCAAAGAUAAAUCCAAGUUGAUUGAAGUUUAAUGAUGCAAGAAUAAUUGAAGAGCAAAGAAAGUGACAUCUUGUGUAGUUAAAAAUAUUUACAAGAGAACUGAAACACACGACAACACUAGCAUAUAAAUCAUAUAAACUUCAACUGUUUACCCAAGUCCUCACAUCAUCUGAGAGGAGACUAAAUGUAUUAACUCACAUUGGACUCUGAUAGGUCGGCAAUGCAUGGUUUGCUGUAAGUGACCACUAAAGGGUAAAAAUAUAUUACUUUCAACUGACAGUCCAAAAUGGGAUGACGGAGAAAGACAAAAAUCUAGAGGGGGGGGAGUUCUCAGGUGGCCCAGCAGGUUAAGGAUCUGGCAUUGUCACUGCAGUGGCUCAGGUCACUGUUGUGGCACAGGUUCGAUCCCUGGCCCGGGAACUUCUGCAUGCUUCACGCAUGGCCAAAAAAAGACAAGAAUUGUCAAACUAAAAUUUUAGAAGUCCAACCAUAUGCUCUUUAUGAGAGAGACAUCUAAAACAUACGGAUACCAGUAGAUUGAAAUAAUGGAAUUAAGUUACGCCGUGGUAGGUAUUAUUACAUAAAACUUAAGGCAGAAUGCAUUACUAAGAGUAAAGGUCAUUGUAUAAUAAAAAUUCCCAAUCACCAGAAGUAUCUACUAAUUCUAGAUUCUACUUACGACUUCAAAACACAUGAAGCAAAAAUUGAUCAUCUACAAGGAGAAAUAUAUAAAUGUACAAUCACGGUGAGAGAUUUUAACACAUUAAAAUCCCGAGGGCAAUCCUUACCUCGUGCAGGAUGAGAACCAAGCAGUAGAAAAAUAAUCACCACGUCACCCUCAAGUGGUGAUUCUACAUGGCUCUUCAGACAGUCCCCAGAAAAGUAAAGCCCAUUUCCUCUCAGCAGAGAUCAGCUCAGUAGAACAUUGAAUUGGAUUGUCUUCCUUCCUUGUCUUGCUCUCCCCAGACCCCGUUCUUUUUCCCUUGGACUCAUCCCAGAGUAAAUUCUUGCAUGCAAAGUACUUCUCUCAACCCUGCUACUUUGUGGACCCAGGCUAAGACACUUGGUGAUACAAGCAGUUCUACAAACAAACCGUCCAAAUGGAUUCUAGUAUUGGACCAACUGGAUCCAGUAAGGAUCCCAGUCAUGUUGGUAAAUGGGGUGACCUUGACCCUUGGCACGCAGCAGCAUCACAGUUGCUGAGGUUUUCACCAGCAGUGAAUUGGAAUGGUGAAUUCGGAAGAUGAGGCAUUGCUUUAUGUAGUGGCAAUUCAUAAAAAAAUACGUGGUCAAUGUUAAUUAUAGGGAAUGUAGAGCUGGCUGACUCUGGUUGCUGGUCUUUAGAAGUCUUGUGAGAGGAGAGGAAAAUGGCAGCUUGAUUGGCCAACUGUCAACCUCAAGGAAUGCUGUGCAACUGGGAAAGUUUCCAGGACAACAGAGAAAUGUCCCUCUCCCCCCAACAGCCCUAGGAAGAUAGUUGCCAUUCAUCCUAGGCUUUAAUUGUGAGUACAGCUUGGUUACCAAGGAGAACACAGCCUUAAGGAGACUCUGAGGUCAGUGUCAGGGCCCAGCUAAGGAAACAGCAGACCUUGAGACAUGGGGUAAGGGUAUUUGGAUGGACAAAUCUGAGACCCUUGAACCCCACAUUCCUCUGAUCCCAGGAACUGUCCCUCCUCCUUCCUGGAGAGGAAUGGUCUUCCCUGGCUGCAGACACUGCGAAGACACCACUAGAGGCAGGAGCUUCACAAGGUGGGGUUCGUCCUAAGAUCUGCCUCUACCUCCUUUGUUUCCUCCAGACCAGCCGUCAAGUCAGGCGCAGCCCAAGCAAGAUGAUCCAGCUCCUCCUUUCGGGAGACACUGUGUGUACUCAAAGGGUCGAAAGUGUUGGUUAACAGGCACUAAAGGUGAACCGGAGACCUCAUGUUGGACUGGGUCUUAAGGAGCAGCCAAGGAAAGAUGCCUCCUUGUGUUUCAGUUUCUUCAACUGUCAAAUCUGAGUGCCUGAGUGCCUGAGUGCCUGUCCAACCUACUUUAUAUACUUAUUAGAGUAAAUGAAGAAAUUAAUAUUAUAGUGAACUCUGCUAGGGACUAUACUAGGCACUUCACGUAAAUUAUUUAAUUAGGAUAAAAUUGGGCAAGUGUAAACACUUAAUCUAGUUCUAAACUUGUUUAGAAUACAAACACAACAUUGUAAUCAACUACACACCAAUACAUUUUUUAAAAGAAGACUUAAAUGUGUUAUUUUUAAUAGCAUGCCCUAGGAAAAAUGCAGAUUUGUGAAACCUUGUUGCCUAAAAGGAAAGAAGAAAAGGAAGCCGGUGUUUCAAAAACUCAGACAUAUUAGAAUAUGGCAUUGAGUAAGCUGUUGUCUUGUUUGGGGGAAGGUGGACCAUCUGAAGAGGGCUUUAGGGACAGUUCUAGUCAUUGACCUUGGGAGAAGCAGGGUAGGAACAGUGCUGCUGCGGAAGCUGAGAGAGCAGUUCUGUGUCCAGUGGAGCACAGUGAACUCCUGGGUGGCACCUGUGGUGUCUUGGGUAACGCAUGGCCUCCCACCCAGACUGCCUCGGUUGGAAUCCCAGCUCUGGCGCUCAGCCCACUGGGGGAUAUUGGACAGGUAGUUACAAAACUCCAUUUUAUGGAGUUCCCUGGUGGCACAGCAGGU